Molecule: small nucleolar RNA, 107 nt
Filed under: Gossypium hirsutum (cotton)
Lineage: Eukaryota; Viridiplantae; Streptophyta; Magnoliopsida; Malvales; Malvaceae
Description: Plant small nucleolar RNA R71
Rfam family: Plant small nucleolar RNA R71
About the family: R71 is a member of the C/D box family of snoRNAs containing the C (UGAUGA) and D (CUGA) box motifs.
Source: Rfam by way of RNAcentral
GAGUGGUAGUAAGGGCACCUUCGCAAAAUGUCCUUGUAUCUCUCCCAUGCAUCAUAGAGUGUUUCUAAAUCCAUCUGCACAAAAGAGGAGAUAUCAUUACGUAAUUU